UGUUUGCUAUGAUGACAUCUACAAGGACGGUAUCUGAGUAAGGAGGCUCUUAAAAUGGUGCCCCUUCUUUGAUUACAUCUAAUCUGAAUGAGAUUCUGAGCAAAAA
Sorghum bicolor (sorghum) is the source of this 106-nucleotide small nucleolar RNA. It matches the Rfam family "Small nucleolar RNA Z118/Z121/Z120". From Rfam's summary of the family: This family consists of several snoRNA Z118, Z121 and Z120 sequences which are members of the C/D class of snoRNA which contain the C (UGAUGA) and D (CUGA) box motifs. The record is from Rfam. NCBI's taxonomy places the organism in Eukaryota, Viridiplantae, Streptophyta, Magnoliopsida, Poales, Poaceae.